Molecule: ribosomal RNA, 1359 nt
Filed under: uncultured bacterium
Lineage: Bacteria
Description: bacterial SSU rRNA
Rfam family: Bacterial small subunit ribosomal RNA
Source: RNAcentral
GAUGAACGCUAGCUACAGGCUUAACACAUGCAAGUCGAGGGGCAGCAUUUCAGUUUGCCUGCAAACUGGAGAUGGCGACCGGCGCACGGGUGAGUAACACGUAUCCAACCUGCCGAUAACUCGGGGAUAGCCUUUCGAAAGAAAGAUUAAUACCCGAUGGUAUAAUCAGACCGCAUGGUCUUGUUAUUAAAGAAUUUCGGUUAUCGAUGGGGAUGCGUUCCAUUAGGCAGUUGGUGAGGUAACGGCUCACCAAACCUUCGAUGGAUAGGGGUUCUGGGAGGAAGGUCCCCCACAUUGGAACUGAGACACGGUCCAAACUCCUACGGGAGGCAGCAGUGAGGAAUAUUGGUCAAUGGGCGCAGGCCUGAACCAGCCAAGUAGCGUGAAGGAUGACUGCCCUAUGGGUUGUAAACUUCUUUUAUAUGGGAAUAAAGUUUUCCACGUGUGGAAUUUUGUAUGUACCAUAUGAAUAAGGAUCGGCUAACUCCGUGCCAGCAGCCGCGGUAAUACGGAGGAUCCGAGCGUUAUCCGGAUUUAUUGGGUUUAAAGGGAGCGUAGGUGGACAGUUAAGUCAGUUGUGAAAGUUUGCGGCUCAACCGUAAAAUUGCAGUUGAUACUGGCUGUCUUGAGUACAGUAGAGGUGGGCGGAAUUCGUGGUGUAGCGGUGAAAUGCUUAGAUAUCACGAAGAACUCCGAUUGCGAAGGCAGCUCACUGGACUGCAACUGACACUGAUGCUCGAAAGUGUGGGUAUCAAACAGGAUUAGAUACCCUGGUAGUCCACACAGUAAACGAUGAAUACUCGCUGUUUGCGAUAUACAGUAAGCGGCCAAGCGAAAGCAUUAAGUAUUCCACCUGGGGAGUACGCCGGCAACGGUGAAACUCAAAGGAAUUGACGGGGGCCCGCACAAGCGGAGGAACAUGUGGUUUAAUUCGAUGAUACGCGAGGAACCUUACCCGGGCUUAAAUUGCAUUUGAAUAUAUUGGAAACAGUAUAGCCGUAAGGCAAAUGUGAAGGUGCUGCAUGGUUGUCGUCAGCUCGUGCCGUGAGGUGUCGGCUUAAGUGCCAUAACGAGCGCAACCCUUAUCUUUAGUUACUAACAGGUCAUGCUGAGGACUCUAGAGAGACUGCCGUCGUAAGAUGUGAGGAAGGUGGGGAUGACGUCAAAUCAGCACGGCCCUUACGUCCGGGGCUACACACGUGUUACAAUGGGGGGUACAGAAGGCAGCUACCUGGUGACAGGAUGCUAAUCCCAAAAGCCUCUCUCAGUUCGGAUCGAAGUCUGCAACCCGACUUCGUGAAGCUGGAUUCGCUAGUAAUCGCGCAUCAGCCAUGGCGCGGUGAAUACGUUCCCGGGCCU